RNAcentral lists this ribosomal RNA (468 nucleotides) under uncultured bacterium. RNAcentral describes it as "partial 16S ribosomal RNA". It matches the Rfam family "Bacterial small subunit ribosomal RNA", at positions 28 to 507 of the family's 1533-position model. The record is from RNAcentral.
GACGAACGCUGGCGGCGUGCUUAACACAUGCAAGUCGAACGGAAAGGCCCUGCUUUUGUGGGGUGCUCGAGUGGCGAACGGGUGAGUAACACGUGAGUAACCUGCCCUUGACUUUGGGAUAACUUCAGGAAACUGGGGCUAAUACCGGAUAGGAGCUCCUGCUGCAUGGUGGGGGUUGGAAAGUUUCGGCGGUUGGGGAUGGACUCGCGGCUUAUCAGCUUGUUGGUGGGGUAGUGGCUUACCAAGGCUUUGACGGGUAGCCGGCCUGAGAGGGUGACCGGCCACGUUGGGACUGAGAUGCGGCCCAGACUCCUACGGGAGGCAGCAGUGGGGAAUAUUGCACAAUGGGCUGAAGCCUGAUGCAGCAACGCCGCGUGCGGGAUGACGGCCUUCGGGUUGUAAACCGCUUUCGCCUGUGACGAAGCGUGAGUGACGGUAAUGGGUAAAGAAGCACCGGCUAACUACGUG